CACCGCUUCAACAACUACUACUUUCAAUUCUGUUUCUACCAUUUCUUCUGGAAGUGGAACUGGAAGCAGCAGUAAUAUAUCUUCCUCCAUAAGUAGAAGCAACUUCUCCUCAGUCUCUGAUUAUUCAAUUGGUGGCCAGAUCUUACCUACUUCUAAUUUGAGGAUAUUUACUUUUGCUGAAUUAAAGGCUGCUACCAAAAAUUUCAAACCUGAUACACUUCUUGGUGAGGGAGGUUUUGGUAAAGUCUACAAGGGAUGGCUUGAUUCCAAGAAUAGUAGUGGAACUGCCGUUGCCGUCAAAAAAUUGAACUCUGAAGGCUACCAGGGACUCGAGGAGUGGCAGGUACGUACGUAAUUGGAUCAUCCUAUAUAUAAUAUUCAAUCAUAGACACAGAUUAAUUAAUUUGGUGAUUGAUUUCUGUUUGUGUUUUGUGCAGUCAGAAAUAAAUUUUCUAGGACGGCUUUAUCAUCCUAACCUUGUUAAGCUGUUGGGAUAUUGUUACGAGGAAACAGAACUUCUUCUUGUCUAUGAAUACAUGCAGAAGGGCAGUUUGGAACAUCAUCUUUUUGGAAGGGGUGCUUCUGUUCAGCCACUUCCCUGGGAUCUUAGGCUUAAGAUAGCAAUUGGAGCGGCCGCUGGCCUUUCCUUCUUGCAUACAUCCGAUCGAGAAAUUAUUUAUCGAGACUUUAAGGCCUCUAAUAUAUUACUUGAUGGGGUCAGUUCACUUCACUUCAAUUCUAUUCGGUUUUAUUUACAAAUCUUCAUACUUUAUUUAUAGUAUUGAUUAGUUGGCCUCAAUUUUAAUUAAAUUAUGGUGCUGCUGCAGUCCUAUAAUGCAAAGAUAUCAGAUUUUGGACUUGCUAAGCUGGGUCCUUCAGCAAGUCAAUCCCAUUUGUCAACAACUGUAAUGGGCACACCUGGUUAUGCAGCUCCUGAAUAUAUGCAAACAGGUAAGUAAAUAAGUAAUUCAUUGCUUUUUAGUGCCCAAAUAAAAUGAAUUUCAUUGUUGAAGUAGCUACUAGCUACUACUACUAAUUGAAAUUGACAUAUACUAUAUGAUAUGCAGGGCAUCUAUAUGUAAAGAGUGACGUGUAUGGGUUUGGAGUUGUUUUGGUUGAGAUACUGUCAGGCCAACGAGCCAUUGAUACCAACCGUCCAACCGGGUAUCACAGUCUAACGGACUGGGUCAAACCAUUCCUACAUGAUAAAAGAAAAUUGAAGAAGAUUAUGGAUCCUCAUUUGGGAGAUAAAUAUCCAAGCAAAGCUGCAUUUCCUAUAGCUAAGCUUGCUUCAAAAUGUCUUGCACCCGAGCCCAAAAUGCGCCCGUCCAUGAAGGAUGUUUUGGAGAUCUUGCAAGGAAUUCAAGCUUCCACAAACAAAAACGUGGAGGUUAGGGGUGAUCAUUAAUUAAUUCAUUAUUAAUCCUAUUUAUAUGUGAAUUAAUUAAUGGACCUGUAUGAUUAAAAGGCUAUUGGUUGUUCAUUUUGUAUUUUCCUUGAACUCAAGUAGCUAGCUAGGUGUAUUUCUGUGGUGGCUUCAGUGAGUUGUGGAUUUGAUAUACAUGCCUCUAGUUAGUUCAUCAACAUGUUGUAUUGUAUCGUGUACCUAUAGUUCUAUAUUAGAAAUCCCAAAUAUUCAUUAUGGAUCUUGAUCAAACUCAUGGAUUAUUCUUGUAUUGUCACAAAACCAUAUAUAAAUCUCUUAGACACACUCACAAAAUAUAAACUCUACAUUUUGUUUUGAGGAGUGCUAUAUAGUGCGAAAAUCCUCUCCCGAAAUGAUCACGAAAAUGUACGCGUAUGUCAAAUUCAGCUCAUUUGUUAAUUUAAGGCAAAGCUCUUUUUUGGUUUUAAUUAAAACAAUAAUUAAUAAUACAGCAGUGUAUUGUGGAUCCACCGCUUGGGGAUUUUUUGUAACUAAUUAACCAGUUAUCCAUACUUCACUUCAAUUCAACCAAUAGCUUAUAAAAAAUUCAACACAUGCUAUGCUACUACUUCAUCCAAGAUCUGCUAUACAAUUUGCCACUUUCACAUUUAGUCAUGCGUUACUUUUUAGAACCACCUGUUUUGAUGAUAAAUUAUUGGAAUAAUAAAGAGAGGUUUUGUGAUAAGACGGUGAGAAACUAACAAAUGAAGAGAAAUAGAGCACUGCUAUUUGCAGCGAAAGAAAAUAUCACGAAUGGUUUCACGAAGUAUUGCCAUCAUUGGAUUUUGUUUGGUGGAAAACAUGAACGGUGGGAUGAAAAGAAGGGAGUAUGAGACAGUUUCAACAUACUGCUUACAAGUUGUCGUGAUGCAUUCGUGGGCAAAUUUGUCGCUAUAAGUAGCAUUAUAAGUCAUAUAAGGCGCACAACUCAUUCGGGAUGUGUUCGGGAAUUUUUACUCGUGACAUAUAGCAUUUUCCUUUUGUUUUUUUGAGUUUGUGAGUGUGCGUAAGCCUAAGACUUAUGACUAUGGAAGACUUUCUCCAAACUUAUAUAAGGAUUGUGACUCUCUCUUGAUGCACAAUAUAUUACAGAUAACAAUUAUCAAUAAAUCUCUUACAGGCCUAAUCUGUUAGCAGGUCUCUAACACACAUCAACACUUUACUUUGACCUAAUGUGAUAUACGAUUAGAAAAAUGGGGCAGCACGGAUCAUACUCCAAUACUAUUGUUCAAAGGGAUUAUAAACAUUCACCAUUUUAUUGAUCAUUAUUAUGAUCACCACAACCUUCAAAAAGGCACAGAGAAUAUAGUUGAUCAGUAAAAUCCAAAUGAACAAUUUGACCAUGAUUUGGAAAACUAGUGUGCAAAUCUUAAAAGCCAUACCUUUGGGUUUCUUGUGCUGCAUAUUGAUUACGGGGUGAGUUAUCUUCACCAGAAGUCUUUCGAAUGUCAGAAUCUACAAAGUCCCUAUGCGGACUUCCGAUAGUACUGCUUGCAAAUGGACUAUUAGGAGCACUUUUUGCAGAUCCAUUGUCACUUUUAUUAGAAACAGAUCCAUUGCCUACUCUUUUGUCCCUCCCUUACUAGUAGUAGUAUUAGUAGUAGUAAUUCACUAUGUAUGGUAGUACAUCGUACAAAUACUAUACACGCAUGCAUACGCAUAUAUCGAGCAAAUAAUUAGUGGAAGAAGAGGAAAAGCUAUCUUUCAUUCAUUAUUGAACUGGACAAGAAAGAAAAAGCAGCAAAAGUAAUAUAUUAUUAUUAAUUAAAAAAUAAAAAAAAAGAUAAGAGCAAGAAUAAAAAGCACGUAACAAGAAGAAAAGAAAGAAGAAAUAAUGGUUUGAUUGAUUGGAGAGCAAAAGUGGAACUUGUUGAAAUUCAAACAAAUACACCACCCUGCUGCUCUAAUUAACCUCUUCUUCUUCUUCUUAUUGUUGCAAUUAUACAAUUCAAUGGGGAUUUGCUGGAGUUAUCCACCUAAAGAUCCAACUCCAACUGGAACUGGUAACAAUUCAACAACUUGUUCAUUGUACUCAAACAUUCAUAAUUUGAUUAUUAAUUAAUCUCCUUAUUAUUUAUUCUACUAUGUGUAUGUAGUUACACCUGCAGGGAUAUCUCAUUCUCAGACCACAAGUGGAAGCUAUGGUAUUAGUACCACCACCACCACUGCUUCAACAACUACUACUUUCAAUUCUGUUUCUACCACUUCUUCUGGAAAUGGAAGCAGCAGUAAUAUAUCUUCCUCCAUAAGUAGAAGCAACUUCUCCUCAGUUUCUGAUUAUUCAAUUGGUGGCCAGAUCUUACCUACUUCUAAUUUGAGGAUCUUUACUUUUGCUGAAUUAAAGGCUGCUACCAAGAAUUUCAAACCUGAUACACUUCUUGGUGAAGGAGGUUUUGGUAAAGUUUACAAGGGAUGGCUUGAUUCCAAGAAUAGUAGUGGAACUACUGUUGCCGUCAAAAAAUUGAACUCCGAAAGCUACCAAGGACUCGAGGAGUGGAAGGUACGUAAAUGGAUCACCCUAUUCAAUCAUAGACACAGAUUAAUUAAUUUGGUGAUUGAUUAAUGGUUAAUUGGUUUGUAUAUGUGUUUUGUGCAGUCAGAAAUAAAUUUUCUAGGACGGCUUUAUCAUCCUAACCUUGUUAAGCUGUUGGGAUAUUGUUACGAGGAAUCAGAACUUCUUCUUGUCUAUGAAUACUUGCAGAGGGGCAGUUUGGAACAUCAUCUCUUUGGAAGGGGUGCUUCUGUUCACCCACUUCCCUGGGAUCUCAGGCUUAA
This 4201-nucleotide long non-coding RNA is filed under the name Trifolium pratense (red clover). Its description in RNAcentral is "long non-coding RNA (TPRA_LNC001775)". The record is from RNAcentral. Lineage: Eukaryota; Viridiplantae; Streptophyta; Magnoliopsida; Fabales; Fabaceae.